ACGCUCGACACCUACGGGAGGCAGCAGUGAGGAAUAUUGGUCAAUGGGCGCAGGCCUGAACCAGCCAAGUAGCGUGAAGGAUGACUGCCCUAUGGGUUGUAAACUUCUUUUAUAUGGGAAUAAAGUUUUCCACGUGUGGAAUUUUGUAUGUACCAUAUGAAUAAGGAUCGGCUAACUCCGUGCCAGAAGCCGAGGUAAUCUGAGCGGGCUGGCAAGGC
RNAcentral lists this ribosomal RNA (218 nucleotides) under uncultured bacterium. RNAcentral describes it as "partial 16S ribosomal RNA". It matches the Rfam family "Bacterial small subunit ribosomal RNA", at positions 328 to 539 of the family's 1533-position model. The record is from RNAcentral.